GACGAACGCUGGCGGCGUGCCUAAUACAUGCAAGUAGAACGCACAGUUUAUACCGUAGCUUGCUACACCAUAGACUGUGAGUUGCGAACGGGUGAGUAACGCGUAGGUAACCUGCCUGGUAGCGGGGGAUAACUAUUGGAAACGAUAGCUAAUACCGCAUAAUAUUGAUUAUUGCAUGAUAAUUGAUUGAAAGAUGCUAUUGCAUCACUACCAGAUGGACCUGCGUUGUACUAGCUAGUAGGUGAGGUAACGGCUCACCUAGGCGACGAUACAUAGCCGACCUGAGAGGGUGAUCGGCCACACUGGGACUGAGACACCGCCCAGACUCCUACGGGAGGCAGCAGUAGGGAAUCUUCGGCAAUGGACGAAAGUCUGACCGAGCAACGCCGCGUGAGUGAAGAAGGUUUUCGGAUCGGAAAGCUCUGUUGUAAGAGAAGAACGGGUGUGAGAGUGGAAAGUUCACACUGUGACGGUACCUUACCAGAAAGGGACGGCUAACUACGUG
This 505-nucleotide ribosomal RNA is filed under the name uncultured bacterium. RNAcentral describes it as "partial 16S ribosomal RNA". It matches the Rfam family "Bacterial small subunit ribosomal RNA", at positions 28 to 507 of the family's 1533-position model. The record is from RNAcentral.